Molecule: ribosomal RNA, 506 nt
Filed under: uncultured bacterium
Lineage: Bacteria
Description: partial 16S ribosomal RNA
Rfam family: Bacterial small subunit ribosomal RNA
Source: RNAcentral
GACGAACGCUGGCGGCGUGCUUAACACAUGCAAGUCGAACGGUGAAGGGACUGGUUUUGCUGGUCCUGGAUGAGUGGCGAACGGGUGAGUAACACGUGAGUAACCUGCCCCCUUCUUCUGGAUAACCGCAUGAAAGUGUGGCUAAUACGGGAUAUUCUGGGUCUGUCGCAUGGUGGGCCUGGGAAAGAUUGCGCCUUUUUUGGUGUUUUUGGUGGGGGAUGGGCUCGCGGCCUAUCAGCUUGUUGGUGGGGUGAUGGCCUACCAAGGCGGUGACGGGUAGCCGGCCUGAGAGGGUGGACGGUCACACUGGGACUGAGACACGGCCCAGACUCCUACGGGAGGCAGCAGUGGGGAAUAUUGCACAAUGGGCGCAAGCCUGAUGCAGCGACGCCGCGUGAGGGAUGGAGGCCGUCGGGUUGUGAACCUCUUUCGCCAGUGAAGCAGGCCUGCCUCUUUGUGUGGGUGGGUUGACGGUAGCUGGAUAAGAAGCGCCGGCUAACUACGUG